Molecule: ribosomal RNA, 430 nt
Filed under: uncultured bacterium
Lineage: Bacteria
Description: bacterial SSU rRNA
Rfam family: Bacterial small subunit ribosomal RNA
Source: RNAcentral
GGCGCACGGGUGAGUAACACGUGGGUGACCUGCCCUCGAGCUCGGGAUACCCCCUCGAAAGGGGGGCUAAUACCGGAUACGUUCCUCGGUUGAAAGAUCGGGGAGGAAAGGUGGCGAAAGCUACCGCUCUUGGAGGGGCUCGCGGCCUAUCAGCUAGUUGGCGGGGUAACGGCCCACCAAGGCUAUGACGGGUAGCUGGUCUGAGAGGACGACCAGCCACACGGGGACUGAGACACGGUCCCGACUCCUACGGGAGGCAGCAGUGGGGAAUUUUCCGCAAUGGGCGAAAGCCUGACGGAGUGACGCCGCGUGUGGGACGAAGGCCUUCGGGUCGUAAACCACUGUCAGUGGGAAAGAUGGGUGUCGGGGCUAAUACCCCCGGCAUCUGACGGUACCUUGCAGAAGGAAGGCCCCGGGCAAAUCUGUGCCA